Alosa sapidissima (American shad) is the source of this 495-nucleotide long non-coding RNA. RefSeq lists it as uncharacterized. The record is from RefSeq and is a predicted model, not a curated record. The transcript has 4 exons. Lineage: Eukaryota; Metazoa; Chordata; Actinopteri; Clupeiformes; Clupeidae.
CUUAAAUAUCGGUUUCCAUGUGUAGGCUAUGUGCUGGAUGGUGUGCUUCCUUUAUGAAAGCCUGAUCAGAGAUUAAGCAGCGAGACAUGAAAGACUCAGAGAAUGAGAAUGAGGAGUGAGAGGCGGAGAAAGACACGAUCAAUCCGGAGACGAAGGAACUUCCACGGAGCUUAAGCAAUUGCAAUCAAAGGAGAGAGACAAAAUAACACAAACAUGUUGAGAAGACAAUCAUGAGAGAGAGAGAGACAGAGAGAGAUCCACAGCAUGCCGCUAAAUGGCAGACAGGCAGAAGGAAAGGGAGCUCGCCAGAGGGGGGACGUGCCAGCACGAGAGCCCCCAGGACGGAUGGACUGCUCUCAUCAGAGGCCAUGUCACGGCCUUUAGUCUUCGCUUCAUCACACAGCGACUGAGGCAACACACAUCAGGCGCAGAAUAUGACUCACCCGUCACUCAUAUCUAUUGGAACAUGGAAACGAACCAAAAUAUAGCUACCAA